This 468-nucleotide ribosomal RNA is filed under the name uncultured bacterium. RNAcentral's name for it is "partial 16S ribosomal RNA". It matches the Rfam family "Bacterial small subunit ribosomal RNA", at positions 28 to 507 of the family's 1533-position model. The record is from RNAcentral.
GACGAACGCUGGCGGCGUGCUUAACACAUGCAAGUCGAACGGAAAGGCCCUGCUUUUGUGGGGUGCUCGAGUGGCGAACGGGUGAGUAACACGUGAGUAACCUGCCCUUGACUUUGGGAUAACUUCAGGAAACUGGGGCUAAUACCGGAUAGGAGCUCCUGCUGCAUGGUGGGGGUUGGAAAGUUUCGGCGGUUGGGGAUGGACUCGCGGCUUAUCAGCUUGUUGGUGGGGUAGUGGCUUACCAAGGCUUUGACGGGUAGCCGGCCUGAGAGGGUGACCGGCCACAUUGGGACUGAGAUACGGCCCAGACUCCUACGGGAGGCAGUAGUGGGGAAUAUUGCACAAUGGGCGGAAGCCUGAUGCAGCAACGCCGCGUGCGGGAUGACGGCCUACGGGUUGUAAACCACUUUCGCCUGUGACGAAGCGUGAGUGACGGUAAUGGGUAAAGAAGCACCGGCUAACUACGUG